Molecule: long non-coding RNA, 445 nt
Organism: Helianthus annuus (common sunflower)
Lineage: Eukaryota; Viridiplantae; Streptophyta; Magnoliopsida; Asterales; Asteraceae
Exons: 2
Source: RefSeq, a predicted model, not a curated record
AAAACACAAGGGGGCGACCAAAGCUUCUUCAUGAACCCUAACUCUCACAAAUUCAUCAAAUUGAUAAGGCAAAUCAGUUCCAAAUCGAAAUCCAAACUCAGAAUAGUAAUCACCUUCGUUAAAGGAUCAUAAGACAAGGAAACCAAGACGUCAAGUGGACAAGCUGGUACGCGUUUGAAAGGAAAACUUUGAAAAUACGUAACCUUGAUUUCGUUACGUUAUGCUUGAUUUUGAAUGUAGUUACUUGAAUUAGUGUUGUGAGAAAAUGUAAUAUUUUGUAGAAGUGACGAAGUUCACUAAAUAGUUAAAACGGGUCAAAAGAUUGGUUAAGGCAUGUUUGGUUGUCAUUGAAAUGGUGGAUACCAUUUGACAACCAAACGGGUCAAACAAAGGUUGAUUUGGUAGUAUAGAAGUGACUUGAACGUCACUCGAUGAUUGUGGAUCA